CGUUUCGUUUUCUUAAAAUUUUAACGACUUGUAUUGAAAUGUGCCAAUGAAUCGAGUUGUUUUGCCUAAACGUACGCAUCGCGGACCGAUAACCUCGCAGGCGACUGCUUGAACAGCGGUUUCCCCCCAUUUACCAAUAAAUCCUUGCGAGCUUUAUGACAAUAUUUUUUUCCAAAACUCGUUUAGGAACAUCUUGGAAAAGCGGCGAAAAUGAGUGAGUUUGGAGGACGUCCACCUUCCGCCAGAGGCACCAGACCUCCAUCUGCUACAGGAAUGAGACCAGCGAGUGGAGCACGAGGAAGAAUGCCUCCUAGCUCCAUGGGAAGGCCUCCAGGUAAUAAAAUAAAAUAUAAAAUGUGCUGUAUAUGGAUAGGUUGUCAUUCAUUCAUUCAGGCAGCCAAUCAGUCAGUGACUUGUCCAUCAACUUUUUUACUCAUUUAUUCACGCAUUCGGUUGGUCAGUCAGUCAGCAAGUCACUCAGCCAUCUGUAAAUCUUUUAACCAGUCAGUCAGCCAGUCAGUCGUCAUCAGUCAGUCAGUCAGUUGGUCGGUCGGUCGGUCAGUCGGUCGGUCAGUUGGUGAGUGGAGUCAUUUAACCAGUUGGUUGGUCAGUUGUGACCUUUGGUACAUGUACUAUGUAUAAUUCAAUUUAUCAAUAAUUAUUGAAUGAAGACAUUCAGUACUAACAUAACAUUAUAAAUUUAUCCUACACUACACUGCACAUUGCGUGGUAUAACAUUACAUUACUUUACAUCACAUUCUUUCAGUCAGUCAAUCUGUAAUCUAUUUUUCCCAUUCACUCAGAUACACUUGUAGACAGACAGUUUUAAUGUUUUUUAAGAAUAUCGUCACAUAAAUUUAUAUUUUGUUUUCAUAAGACAUACUUCAUCAAGCAGAAAGG
Orbicella faveolata is the source of this 900-nucleotide long non-coding RNA. NCBI's taxonomy places the organism in Eukaryota, Metazoa, Cnidaria, Anthozoa, Scleractinia, Merulinidae. The record is from RefSeq and is a predicted model, not a curated record.